CGAUACUCCGUAGAUUUUUUGCCCGAUUUCGGAAAUAUUUAAUAUUUUACGGUGUUCUUAGUCGUACUCGCGGUUUCUUUUGCCAUUCAAAGGGCACGAUUCUAUCGUCUUGAAAACGUAUUAUCUAGCGAAAUUGUGCCGUCGGUUUUAGUAUUAUAAAGAAUUGCCCCGUUAUCAAACUUAAAGAUGUAUUUGUGUAAUUUUUAAGAUACGAGUACGUGAAAUAUCACAAUAGUAUAACAAUGCUUUAAUCUCGCUUGGAAAUACAAAUAUCGGACAAACCAUGCUAACACUGCACGGAUAAUAUUUUUAUCUUUAAGUUUGGUGAUACGAGAGUAGGCGAAUUCACUCUGAUAUUAAAACAAACAUAAAUGGCCCAAAGUCGUCCCAGCUGAACGAAAAUUUACUGUGGCGCACGUCCUUUUAAAUAUCUUUCAUUGUAUAGCAAUAAUAACAAUAAUAAUAACAAUCAUCGUUUUCAUGACUCGGAGCACGUCAAAUCAGAUCGCAUCUUCUAAUUUUAAUCGUACCGAACAUCUUUCCGGUUUCAUUUAAUUCACCGUUUGUUCUUCGUUCUGUCCAACUUCGUAUUUUUCGUAUUCGAUUAUCCUGCGGCGAUUAUUAUUACAAUAAGACGCCUCUUGUCGGGAAUACGUUCGUCCUAUUUGGGACACGAUUGAUAGUCGAAACGGUUACUACGAUAUUACAUGAUUACGGAUAUGGCAUUCGAUAUCAGUCGAAUCACGAGUAUAUAUUGACGAUAUAUACAUUGUAUUAUGCGUUUAUCAUGUUAGGAGUUCUCAAUUGGCUUCUUCGUCGUUUACCACACCCCGUGCGUCAACCGCACAUUUUCCUAACUCUGUUCAUAUUUCGCAGGGUUUUUCGACAAGUGCGGGUUUUCGACUCCAGCCAUUAUUUCGUCCUGAAAAUCAUUCCGGCAGUCUAUAUAUUAGCGAUUUGUGCGACUUUGGUCGUGUUCACUUUCCCGUAUCCUAUGAUUUCUCUGCUGCAGCGUUCCCGUAAACGCGAAUUCUCAACGUCGGGACGAGGAGUGAGAGGGAGAUCACAGAAUACUCGUAUCGAUUUCACAACUAUAUUAUGUCACAAUACUAUUACAUAUUAUUGUAUAUGUAGCGUUAUAUUAUUGAUCCUAUUCUAUUAAAACGCGUAUAUAUAAAUUUUUUUUUAAUCUAUUAUCGUCGCCGUCACAGCUAAAACACGGUAAACAUAUCGCGUCAAUUGUUUUCGCGGGGGAUAAAAAAAAUAUCGCGUAAUCCUGCCGCUAUAACGAUAAUAUGACGUUUCCCGAGAUAUAUAUAUAUACGUAUUAUACGUAUAAAAUACACGACGUAUAUAUACGUAAUUAUGUUCUACGAUGCGGAUACGCCCAUUAUAAUCGCGAAAAUGCCUAGGUUUUGCCCCGAUGUCGAUC
Cinara cedri is the source of this 1432-nucleotide non-coding RNA. The record is from the annotation of a GenBank genome assembly. NCBI's taxonomy places the organism in Eukaryota, Metazoa, Arthropoda, Insecta, Hemiptera, Aphididae.